UCCGUAGGUGAACCUGCGGAAGGAUCAUAGUAAUCGUCUUUGACGUUACGUUUCCGUUCGUCCUCGGGACGUUAAGGCGCUCUGGUCGAGGAUAAACGACCCCUCUGACCGAGGUAAAGCCGUCUCCCUGUGUUACCUCUUUCCCGAGGCACACGUUAAAGAUCGUUCCGCAUUGUGAGUCCACACCAGUUGUAACACUUUUACAACCGGUAGCGCUGGAUCCCUUGGCACGUCAUUCGAUGAAGACCGUUGCAAAUUGCGAUAAAGUGAUGUGAUGCGCAAGUCCACCACUUAUACGUGAAUCAUCGAGUUGUUGAACGCACCGCACCGCGCCCUAAUCCGGCUGCGGUAUGCCCCUUUGAGCGUCAUUGUAUCCCUUCGGGAGUCUUUUCAUCGAGACCCGAGUUCGGAGUCCUCGGUCUUUGGAUCGUGUUCUCUCAGAUGCGUCGCGCCGAUCGCCUGAUGGGUCGCUCUAAUGCCUAAGCGUGGAGUCCCUCGGAGCCCGAAACGCGCUUGACCGGGUGUUGAGCCCGYGUCGCCAAGUCCGCACGUCUUACGUGGCGGUACUACAACGCAUGACCUCAUUGGGGUAGGACAACCCGCUAGACUUAAGCAUAUUAAUCAGCGGAGGAAAAGAAACUAACCAGGAUUCCCUCAGUAACUGCGAGUGAAGCGGGACCGGCUCAAUGUGUGAAUCUGGCUUGGGGUAGAUCCCUGGUCCGAGUUGUGCACUAUGGACGUUUCGUCUGCGUUUGUAAUGGCGGUGGAAGUCCGUUGAAACACGGCACCUCAGAGGGUCACAGUCCUGUACCACCUGCCUGCACUCGCGCCAAUGACAAGCGCUCCUCGAGUCGCGUAGUUUUGUAAUGCUGCGCCAAGUGGGAGGUAGAGACCUUCUAAGGCUAAAUAUGAUGACGUGACCGAUAGCACACAAGUACCGCGAGGGAAAGGUGAAAAGCAACCAUGAAAAAUGGGUUGAAACAGCAGUGAAAGCGCUACCGGGAUAAGGGCUAUCGGGUGCUGGGGCUUCUUGGGUGUGCUUCAGUGCUACCCUUGGAGACGGCCCGCGUGGGUUGAUGUUGGGGYGAUAGACGCGUCGUUGGAAUUCAGCUGUCUUUGGGCAGUGUUGUAGCCUUCGGUUGCCGAUCCUCCUGCGACCUUUUGUAAUUGCGGGUCUUGCGACCGUUAGCCGCCCGUCUUGAAACACGGACCAAGGAGUGCACCUUGCAUGCGAGUCGAAGGGAUUUGAAACCUGGAGGCGUAGCGAACGCGACGAUGGGGAAUGUCCUUGUGGCAGACACCCGCACCCGCCUUGUGCGAGGUAGAGCAUGUACGGUGCGACCCGAAAGAUGGUGAACUAUGCCCGGGUAAGGUGAAGCCAGUGGAAACGCUGGUGGAGGCCUGUAGCGAUUCUGACGUGCAAAUCGAUCGCGUAACCUGGGUAUAGGGGCGAAAGACCUAUCGAACCGUCUAAUGGCUGGUUCCCUCCGAAGUUUCCCUCAGGAUAGCUGCGUUCCUAUUGAGAGUCAGUUGCAUUGCGGUAGAGCGAAUGAUUAGGCGUCUCGGGGCCAUCAUGGCCUCGGCUCAUUCUCAAACUCCGAAUUGCGUGCGAUCCCGUUGCUGUGACCUUGUGGCACGCCGGGAAAAUGACAGGACGCAAGUGGGCUGGUUUUGGUAAGCAGAACUGGCG
This 1690-nucleotide ribosomal RNA is filed under the name uncultured Tulasnella mycobiont of Aneura pinguis. RNAcentral describes it as "eukaryotic LSU rRNA". The stretch from base 577 to 1690 matches the Rfam family "Eukaryotic large subunit ribosomal RNA", at positions 1 to 1155 of the family's 3401-position model. Lineage: Eukaryota; Fungi; Basidiomycota; Agaricomycetes; Cantharellales; Tulasnellaceae. The record is from RNAcentral.